RNAcentral lists this microRNA precursor (55 nucleotides) under Heligmosomoides polygyrus. RNAcentral describes it as "microRNA hpo-mir-10063b precursor". Lineage: Eukaryota; Metazoa; Nematoda; Chromadorea; Rhabditida; Heligmosomidae. The record is from miRBase by way of RNAcentral.
GAUGAGGCGUAUCUCACGCAGGUUUCUAACCUGCGUAAGAUACGUCUCAUCGAGC